This 460-nucleotide ribosomal RNA is filed under the name uncultured bacterium. Its description in RNAcentral is "partial 16S ribosomal RNA". It matches the Rfam family "Bacterial small subunit ribosomal RNA", at positions 338 to 795 of the family's 1533-position model. The record is from RNAcentral.
CCUACGGGUGACAGCAGUGAGGAAUAUUGGUCAAUGGGCUUACGCCUGAACCAGCCAAGUCGCGUGAGGGAAGACUGCCCUAUGGGUUGUAAACCUCUUUUGUCAGGGAGCAAUUGGCGCUACGUGUAGCGUUAUCGAGAGUAACUGAAGAAAAAGCAUCGGCUAACUCCGUGCCAGCAGCCGCGGUAAUACGGAGGAUGCGAGCGUUAUCCGGAUUGAUUGGGUUUAAAGGGUGCGUAGGCGGAAUGCCAAGUCAGCGGUAAAAUCGCGGGGCUCAACCUCGCUCCGCCGUUGAAACUGGCGUUCUUGAGUGGGCGAGAAGUAUGCGGAAUGCGUGGUGUAGCGGUGAAAUGCAUAGAUAUCACGCAGAACUCCGAUUGCGAAGGCAGCAUACCGGCGCCCAACUGACGCUGAAGCACGAAAGCGUGGGUAUCGAACAGGAUUAGAUACCCUGGUAGUC